Molecule: ribosomal RNA, 717 nt
Filed under: uncultured organism
Description: bacterial SSU rRNA
Rfam family: Bacterial small subunit ribosomal RNA
Source: RNAcentral
GCAGUGAGAUGCGUAGAUAUCGUGAGGAAGACCGGUGGCGAAGGCGAGUCUCUGGACAGAUCCUGACGCUGAGGCACGAAGGCUGGGGGAGCGAACAGGAUUAGAUACCCUGGUAGUCCCAGCAGUAAACGAUGUGAGCUUGAUGUGGGGGGGUUCGACCCCUUCCGUGUCGAAGCUAACGCGAUAAGCUCACCGCCUGAGGAGUACGGCCGCAAGGCUAAAACUCAAAGAAAUUGACGGGGACCCGCACAAGCGGUGAAGUAUGCGGCUUAAUUCGAUGCAACGCGAAGAACCUUACCUGGCCUUGACAUGCAUUGUGUCGUCGGUGAAAGCCGGCUAGUCCUGGAAACAGGACGCUUUGCACAGGUGCUGCAUGGCUGUCGUCAGCUCGUGUCGUGAGAUGUUGGGUUAAGUCCCGCAACGAGCGCAACCCUUGUGGUCAGUUACUAACCGGCUUAGCCGGAGGACUCUGGCCAGACUGCCCUGUCAAACGGGGAGGAAGGUGGGGACGACGUCAAGUCAGUAUGGCCCUUAUGGCCAGGGCUGCACACGUACUACAAUGCCCGGUACAAUGUGAACCGAAACCGCGAGUGGAGGAAAUCGCUCUUGAAACCGGGCCCAGUUCGGAUUGGAGUCUGCAACUCGACUCCAUGAAGUCGGAAUCGCUAGUAAUGGCGUAUCAGCAACGACGCCGUGAAUACGUUCCCGGGUCUUGUA